Molecule: ribosomal RNA, 500 nt
Filed under: uncultured bacterium
Lineage: Bacteria
Description: partial 16S ribosomal RNA
Rfam family: Bacterial small subunit ribosomal RNA
Source: RNAcentral
AUUGAACGCUGGCGGCAUGCCUUACACAUGCAAGUCGAACGGCAGCGCGGGCUUCGGCCUGGCGGCGAGUGGCGGACGGGUGAGUAAUGCAUCGGAACGUGCCCAGGAGUGGGGGAUAACGUAGCGAAAGUUACGCUAAUACCGCAUACGUACUGAGGUAGAAAGCGGGGGAUCGAAAGACCUCGCGCUCAUGGAGCGGCCGAUGUCGGAUUAGCUAGUUGGUGAGGUAAAAGCUCACCAAGGCGACGGUCCGUAGCUGGUCUUACAGGACGACCAGCCACACUGGGACUGAGACACGGCACAGACCCCUACGGGAGGCAGCAGUGGGGAAUCUUGGACAAUGGGGGAAACCCUGAUUCAGCAAUGCCGCGUGUGGGAUGAAGGCCCUCGGGUUGUAAACCACUUUUGGCAGGAAAGAAAUCGCCUGUGCUAAUACCAUGGGCGGAUGACGGUACCUGCAGAAUAAGCACCGGCUAACUACGUGCCAGCAGCCGCGGUAA